This 556-nucleotide ribosomal RNA is filed under the name uncultured bacterium. RNAcentral's name for it is "bacterial SSU rRNA". It matches the Rfam family "Bacterial small subunit ribosomal RNA", at positions 369 to 917 of the family's 1533-position model. The record is from RNAcentral.
GUAUGCGCGCAGCCUGAUCCAGCCAUGCCGCGUGCGGGAAGAAGGCCUUCGGGUUGUAAACCGCUUUUGUCAGGGAAGAAAAGGUUCUGGCUAAUACCUGGGACUCAUGACGGUACCUGAAGAAUAAGCACCGGCUAACUACGUGCCAGCAGCCGCGGUAAUACGUAGGGUGCAAGCGUUAAUCGGAAUUACUGGGCGUAAAGCGUGCGCAGGCGGUUAUGCAAGACAGAGGUGAAAUCCCCGGGCUCAACCUGGGAACUGCCUUUGUGACUGCAUGGCUAGAGUACGGUAGAGGGGGAUGGAAUUCCGCGUGUAGCAGUGAAAUGCGUAGAUAUGCGGAGGAACACCGAUGGCGAAGGCAAUCCCCUGGACCUGUACUGACGCUCAUGCACGAAAGCGUGGGGAGCAAACAGGAUUAGAUACCCUGGUAGUCCACGCCCUAAACGAUGUCAACUGGUUGUUGGGAGGGUUUCUUCUCAGUAACGUAGCUAACGCGUGAAGUUGACCGCCUGGGGAGUACGGCCGCAAGGUUGAAACUCAAAGAAAUUUUGACGGA